UGGGGGCAACCCUGAUCCAGCCAUGCCGCGUGAGUGAAGAANGCCUUCGGGUUGUUAAGCUCUUUCAGUAGGAACGAAACGAUAGGCUCUAACAUAGCCUGUUACUGACGGUACCUACAGAANAAGCACCGGCUAACUACGUGCCAGCAGCCGCGGUAAUACGUAGGGUGCGAGCGUUAAUCGGAAUUACUGGGCGUAAAGCGUGCGCAGGCGGUUUCUUAAGCCAGAUGUGAAAGCCCCGGGCUUAACCUGGGAAUUGCGUUUUGGACUGGGA
Molecule: ribosomal RNA, 274 nt
Filed under: uncultured bacterium
Lineage: Bacteria
Description: partial 16S small subunit ribosomal RNA
Rfam family: Bacterial small subunit ribosomal RNA
Source: RNAcentral